Long non-coding RNA from Portunus trituberculatus (swimming crab), 594 nucleotides. RefSeq lists it as uncharacterized. The record is from RefSeq and is a predicted model, not a curated record. The transcript has 2 exons. Lineage: Eukaryota; Metazoa; Arthropoda; Malacostraca; Decapoda; Portunidae.
UGGAGGCGAGCGCACGGGACAGCUUCUCGGGGACAUUGCCACAAAAUUAUAUGAACUAUAUCAGAAUUCCAAUAAUGUAUUGAGAAAUAGCCACAGCUUGAGGCAAGAUGAGAGCCGGGAGGAAGUUGUGGAGCCGUUCCUGCGUCCCGCCGCCGCCAGUGUCAGUGAAGCAAUUUGGCGAAUGGGAAUGCAAUGCCACGAUACGCCACCGCUAAUGAGACUGGCUGCCGGAGAGACAGCCACGCUGCACCCUUUAUUUUUCUUUUUCUUACUGCUGACGCUCCUUGCCCUGGAACUUCACCUCGUCACUGCGCCUUGCUAACUUCCCUGCCUAAGUGCUGACCCAGAGAGAGCAGCGGGGGAGGAGUAAUAACGCAGAUAUAAGCACAAAGGUGAGUUGAAUGCUGCACCUGUACAGCUCAUUGGUCAACCAUGUGGUGGUGGUCGUGGGUUCAGUGCCAUGGCACCACCUCUUCCCACGUUGGCGGCCGGCUUGCUAACUUCUCCCUCACUCUGAUGGUUGUGACUCAUCUGAUGGACAUGUCUCCUGUUGUGCUCCUGUCCCUCACAGCCCUCCAUCCAGGUGGUGCCAGG